RNAcentral lists this long non-coding RNA (3248 nucleotides) under Citrus maxima (pomelo). RNAcentral's name for it is "long non-coding RNA (CMAX_LNC001232)". Lineage: Eukaryota; Viridiplantae; Streptophyta; Magnoliopsida; Sapindales; Rutaceae. The record is from RNAcentral.
UGACGGAGUACAACGAACGGUCAAAGAGCGCGUUGAAGUUUGAGAGCGUGGAGAAGGGCGAGACUCAGGUGGUUUCCGGCACCAAUUACCGGCUGAUCUUGGUCGUCAAGGACGGUCCUUCGAUCAAGAAAUUUGAAGCUGUCGUUUGAGAGAAGCCAUGGGAGCAUUUCAAGAGUCUCACCUCGUUUAAGCCUAUGUUUGGGGGAUGGACUCCGAUAGACCCCACGGAGAAGCACGUGAUGGAGAUCGGGCAGUUCGCGGUGACGGAGUACAACAAACGGUCAAAGAGCGCGUUGAAGUUCGAGAGGGUGGAGAAGGCCGAGACUCAGGUGGUUUCCGGCACCAAUUACCGGCUGAUCUUGGUCGUCAAGGACGGACCUUCGACCAAGAAAUUUGUAGCUGUCGUUUGGGAGAAGCCAUGGGAGCAUUUCAAGAGUCUCACCUCGUUUAAGCCUAUGUUUGGGGGAUGGACUCCGAUAGACCCCACGGAGAAGCACGUGAUGGAGAUCGGGCAGUUCGCGGUGACAGAGUAAUACAAACGGUCAAAGAGCGCGUUGAAGUUCGAGAGCGUGGAGAAGGCCUGGACUCAGGUGCUUUCCGGCACCAAUUACCGGCUGAUCUUGGUCGUCAAGGACGGACCUUCGACCAAGAAAUUUGAAGCUGUCGUUUGGGAGAAGCCAUGGGAGCAUUUCAAGAGUCUCACCUCGUUUAAGCCUAUGUUUGGGGGAUGGACUCCGAUAGACCCCACGGAGAAGCACGUGAUGGAGAUCGGGCAGUUCGCGGUGACAGAGUACAACAAACGGUCAAAGAGCGCGUUGAAGUUCGAGAGCGUGGAGAAGGCCUGGACUCAGGUCGUUUCCGGCACCAAUUACCGGCUGAUCUUGGUCGUCAAGGACGGACCUUCGACCAAGAAAUUUGUAGCUGUCGUUUGGGAGAAGCCAUGGGAGCAUUUCAAGAGUCUCACCUCGUUUAAGCCUAUGUUUGGGGGAUGGACUCCGAUAGACCCCACGGAGAAGCACGUGAUGGAGAUCGGGCAGUUCGCGGUGACAGAGUAAUACAAACGGUCAAAGAGCGCGUUGAAGUUCGAGAGCGUGGAGAAGGCCUGGACUCAGGUGCUUUCCGGCACCAAUUACCGGCUGAUCUUGGUCGUCAAGGACGGACCUUCGACCAAGAAAUUGUUAGCUGUCGUUUGGGAGAAGCCAUGGGAGCAUUUCAAGAGUCUCACCUCGUUUAAGCCUAUGCUUGGCGGAUGGACUCCGAUAGACCCCACGGAGAAGCACGUGAUGGAGAUCGGGCAGUUCGCGGUGACAGAGUACAUCAAACGGUCAAAGAGCGCGUUGAAGUUCGAGAGCGUGGAGAAGGCCUGGACUCAGGUGGUUUCCGGCACCAAUUACCGGCUGAUCUUGGUCGUCAAGGACGGACCUUCGACCAAGAAAUUUGAAGUUGUCGUUUGGGAGAAGCCAUGGGAGCAUUUCAAGAGUCUCACCUCGUUUAAGCCUAUGCUUGGGGAUGGACUCCGAUAGACCCCACGGAGAAGCACGUGAUGGAGAUCGGGCAGUUCGAGGUGACGGAGUGCAAUAAACGGUCAAAGAGCGCGUUGAAGUUCGAGAGCGUGGAGAAGGCCUGGACUCAGGUGGUUUCCGGCACCAAUUACCGGCUGAUCUUGGUCGUCAAGGACGGACCUUCGACCAAGAAAUUUGAAGCUGUCGUUUGGGAGAAGCCAUGGGAGCAUUUCAAGAGUCUCACCUCGUUUAAGCCUAUGUUUGGGGGAUGGACUCCGAUAGACCCCACGGAGAAGCACGUGAUGGAGAUCGGGCAGCUCGCGGUGACGGAGUACAACAAACGGUCAAAGAGCGCGUUGAAGUUCGAGAGCGUUUAGAAGGCCGAGACUCAAGUGGUUUCCGGCACCAAUUACCGGCUGAUCUUGGUCGUCAAGGACGGACCUUCGACCAAGAAAUUUGUAGCUGUCGUUUGGGAGAAGCCAUGGGAGCAUUUCAAGAGUCUCACCUCGUUUAAGCCUAUGUUUGGGGGAUGGACUCCGAUAGACCCCACGGAGAAGCACGUGAUGGAGAUCGGGCAGUUCGCGGUAACAGAGUACAACAAACGGUCAAAGAGCGCGUUGAAGUUCGAGAGCGUGGAGAAGGCCUGGACUCAGGUCGUUUCCGGCACCAAUUACCGGCUGGUCUUGGUCGUCAAGGACGGACCUUCGACCAAGAAAUUGUUAGCUGUCGUUUGGGAGAAGCCAUGGGAGCAUUUCAAGAGUCUCACCUCGUUUAAGCCUAUGCUUGGGGGAUGGAAUCCGAUAGACCCCACGGAGAAGCACGUGAUGGAGAUCGGGCAGUUCGCUGUGACAGAGUACAACAAACGGUCAAAGAGCGCGUUGAAGUUCGAGAGCGUGGAGACGGCCUGGACUCAGGUGGUUUCCGGCACCAAUUACCGGCUGAUCUUGGUCGUCAAGGACGGACCUUCGACCAAGAAAUUUGUAGCUGUCAUUUGGGAGUAGCCAUGGGAGCAUUUCAAGAGUCUCACCUCGUUUAAGCCUAUGCUUGGGGGAUGGACUCCGAUAGACCCCACGGAGAAGCACGUGAUGGAGAUCGGGCAGUUCGCGGUGACAGAGUACAACAAACGGUCAAAGAGCGCGUUGAAGUUCGAGAGCGUUGAGAAGGCUUGGACUCAGGUGGUUUCCGGCACCAAUUACCGGCUGAUCUUGGUCGUCAAGGACGGACCUUCGACCAAGAAAUUUGAAGCUGUCGUUUGAGAGAUGCCAUGGGAGCAUUUCAAGAGUCUCACCUCGUUUAAGCCUAUGCUUGGGGGAUGGACUCCGAUAGAGCCCACGGAGAAGCACGUGAUGGAGAUCGGGCAGUUCGCGGUGACAGAGUACAAUAAACGGUCAAAGAGCGCGUUGAAGUUCGAGAGCGUUGAGAAGGCUUGGACUCAGGUGGUUUCCGGCACCAAUUACCGGCUGAUCUUGGUCGUCAAGGACGGACCUUCGACCAAGAAAUUUGUAGCUGUCGUUUGGGAGUAGCCAUGGGAGCAUUUCAAGAGUCUCACCUCGUUUAAGCCUAUGCUUGGGGGAUGGACUCCGAUAGACCCCACGGAGAAGCACGUGAUGGAGAUCGGGCAGUUCGCGGUGACGGAGUACAACAAACGGUCAAAGAGCGCGUUGAAGUUCGAGAGCGUGGAGAAGGCCUGGACUCAGGUGCUUUCCGGCACCAAUUACCGGCUGAUCUUGGUCGUCAAGGACGGAC